AGUGAACGCUGGCGGUAGGCCUAACACAUGCAAGUCGAACGGCAGCACAGUAAGAGCUUGCUCUUACGGGUGGCGAGUGGCGGACGGGUGAGGAAUACAUCGGAAUCUACUUUUUCGUGGGGGAUAACGUAGGGAAACUUACGCUAAUACCGCAUACGACCUACGGGUGAAAGCAGGGGAUCUUCGGACCUUGCGCGAUUGAAUGAGCCGAUGUCGGAUUAGCUAGUUGGCGGGGUAAAGGCCCACCAAGGCGACGAUCCGUAGCUGGUCUGAGAGGAUGAUCAGCCACACUGGAACUGAGACACGGUCCAGACUCCUACGGGAGGCAGCAGUGGGAAAUAUUGGACAAUGGGCGGAAGCCUGAUCCAGCCAUACCGCGUGGGUGAAGAAGGCCUUCGGGUUGGAAAGCCCUUUUGUUGGGAAAGAAAAGCAGCAGGUUAAUAACCCGCUGUUCUGACGGUACCCAAAGAAUAAGCACCGGCUAACUUCGUG
RNAcentral lists this ribosomal RNA (492 nucleotides) under uncultured bacterium. RNAcentral describes it as "partial 16S ribosomal RNA". It matches the Rfam family "Bacterial small subunit ribosomal RNA", at positions 29 to 507 of the family's 1533-position model. The record is from RNAcentral.